AAAAAGAUGGUAUGAUUUUUAAUUGGGAUGAUAAAGAAGGAUAUUUGUCAGUCUUUUAGAACUGUGUGAAUGAUGAUGAUAAUUGAGGCUGCUUUUGGUGGAGGGGAUAAGUGGAGAGAUAUCUUGCUAAUACUCAAAAGUCAAAACAGUUGAAGAAUAACCUUAUUUACCCAAGUGCAAAAGGUAAGAGAGAAGGGAAGAGAUAAUUCUAUUUUGUUAUAUUGGCAGAACAGAGUUACCUCGCGCAUCAGAGGAAGCUUGUCCCCUCCAGUUAUUUUGCUUCUAUCUACUCUUCAAACAUACAGAAAGAAGAGGAUAAUUUUGUCCUUGUACGAAAAUAAAACUAAGCUAUUUUGAAAUUUGAUGCACUCAUUUAUUCUCCACUUGUUCUUCCAACCAAAUGCUAAAACACUAUUUAUUUUGUGGAAGUUCUAUCUGUUCUGGAG
This 446-nucleotide long non-coding RNA is filed under the name Phoenix dactylifera (date palm). Its description in RNAcentral is "long non-coding RNA (PDAC_LNC016419)". The record is from RNAcentral. Lineage: Eukaryota; Viridiplantae; Streptophyta; Magnoliopsida; Arecales; Arecaceae.